CAGCAGCCGCGGUAAUACGUAGGUGGCAAGCGUUGUCCGGAAUUAUUGGGCGUAAAGGGCUCGCAGGCGGUUUCUUAAGUCUGAUGUGAAAGCCCCCGGCUCAACCGGGGAGGGUCAUUGGAAACUGGGAAGCUUGAGUGCAGAAGAGGAGAGUGGAAUUCCACGUGUAGCGGUGAAAUGCGUAGAGAUGUGGAGGAACACCAGUGGUGAAGGCGACUCUCUGGUCUGUAACUGACGCUGAGGAGCGAAAGCGUGGGGAGCGAACAGGAUUAGAUACCCGUGUAGUCCCUGUCUCUUAUAC
RNAcentral lists this ribosomal RNA (301 nucleotides) under uncultured bacterium. RNAcentral's name for it is "partial 16S ribosomal RNA". It matches the Rfam family "Bacterial small subunit ribosomal RNA", at positions 509 to 807 of the family's 1533-position model. The record is from RNAcentral.